This 220-nucleotide ribosomal RNA is filed under the name uncultured bacterium. RNAcentral's name for it is "partial 16S ribosomal RNA". It matches the Rfam family "Bacterial small subunit ribosomal RNA", at positions 57 to 305 of the family's 1533-position model. The record is from RNAcentral.
GCAAGUCGAGCGCGCCCUUCGGGGUGAGUGGUGGACGGGUUAGUAACGCGUGGGAACGUACCCAGAUCUGCGGAUUAGCUAUUGGAAACGAUGAGUAAUACCGCAUACGCCCUUCGGGGGAAAGAUUUAUCGGAUUUGGAUCGGCCCGCGUUAGAUUAGAUAGUUGGUGGGGUAAUGGCCUACCAAGUCUACGAUCUCUAGCUGGUUUUAGAGGAUGAUC